UUUUUAUUGGACGUUGGUUGCCACAUGUUGCGAUUUUAUUGAAGGUUGACGUUAAUUAGGUGCACAAAAUUAAUGUGCAUUAAAAGCACGACACUUGGCGGUUAACGUCCAAUAAAAGUGUGACACAUGGCAAUCAAGAUAA
RNAcentral lists this microRNA precursor (142 nucleotides) under Glycine max (soybean). RNAcentral's name for it is "MIR1520 microRNA precursor family". It matches the Rfam family "MIR1520 microRNA precursor family". Lineage: Eukaryota; Viridiplantae; Streptophyta; Magnoliopsida; Fabales; Fabaceae. The record is from Rfam by way of RNAcentral. RNAcentral also lists the same sequence under 1 other name.